This 76-nucleotide transfer RNA is filed under the name Aquabacterium olei. RNAcentral's name for it is "tRNA-Trp". It matches the Rfam family "tRNA". Rfam says of the family: Transfer RNA (tRNA) molecules are approximately 80 nucleotides in length. Their secondary structure includes four short double-helical elements and three loops (D, anti-codon, and T loops). Further hydrogen bonds mediate the characteristic L-shaped molecular structure. tRNAs have two regions of fundamental functional importance: the anti-codon, which is responsible for specific mRNA codon recognition, and the 3' end, to which the tRNAs corresponding amino acid is attached (by aminoacyl-tRNA synthetases). tRNAs cope with the degeneracy of the genetic code in two manners: having more than one tRNA (with a specific anti-codon) for a particular amino acid; and 'wobble' base-pairing, i.e. permitting non-standard base-pairing at the 3rd anti-codon position. The record is from RNAcentral. Lineage: Bacteria; Pseudomonadati; Pseudomonadota; Betaproteobacteria; Burkholderiales; Sphaerotilaceae.
GACGGCCUAGUCCAAUUGGCAGGAUGCCGGGCUCCAAACCCGUGCGGUCUUGGUUCGAGUCCAAGGGCCGUUGCCA